Molecule: long non-coding RNA, 427 nt
Organism: Eufriesea mexicana
Lineage: Eukaryota; Metazoa; Arthropoda; Insecta; Hymenoptera; Apidae
Exons: 4
Source: RefSeq, a predicted model, not a curated record
CGAUUUCUUGCUGCCUUUGAAAUUAUCCUUGUUGGCAUAUUCGUAACUUUCUUGAUACAUAUGCAAUUAUUUCGACACUGUAGCUUCGGAAUGUUUCACUAUGCAAAAGGUCGAGCAACAAUAGCCCAUCGGACUUCGUGUAAUUGUCUAGCAUCUUGCCAGUAACGCGUACGUUCUACACACCUUAACGCGUUACACGAGCAACUCGUGACAAGGAGGUGGCGCUAACAGGCAUCCACCGUAGAAUCGCUAAUGUAAAAUAUGUCUAUAUUUUCAACAAGGCGAGAUAUAAACAAGCACCACAUUAAAUAUUCACGCGCUAAGGCAUCUGAAAGAGGAAGUAACCACAACUAUUGGCUGAUACGGAUCAUUAAACAUUAGACAAUUAUUUAUAUCAGAAAUUGAAUUUUAUUUAUUUAUAAAAAGU